This 322-nucleotide ribosomal RNA is filed under the name uncultured eukaryote. RNAcentral's name for it is "partial 18S ribosomal RNA". It matches the Rfam family "Eukaryotic small subunit ribosomal RNA", at positions 1470 to 1796 of the family's 1831-position model. The record is from RNAcentral.
CCCUUAGAUGUUCUGGACCGCACGCGUGCUACACUGAGUGGAUCAGCGGGUCAGGUUGCGCGAAAGCGUUUCCUAAUCUUUAAAUCCGCUCGUGAUGGGGAUUGACGGUUGCAAUUUUCUGUCAUGAACGAGGAAUACCUUGUAAGCGCGGGUCAUCAUCCCGCGCUGAAUACGUCCCUGCCCUUUGUACACACCGCCCGUCGCUCCUACCGAUUGAGUGGUCCGGUGAGGCUUUGGGAUCUGAGCGGAAGGAGCGUUUCGCUGUUUCUGCUCGGAAAACUCAGUCGAACCUUAUCAUUUAGAGGAAGGAGAAGUCGUAACA